This 2919-nucleotide ribosomal RNA is filed under the name Bacillus cereus. Its description in RNAcentral is "bacterial LSU rRNA". It matches the Rfam family "Bacterial large subunit ribosomal RNA". Lineage: Bacteria; Bacillati; Bacillota; Bacilli; Caryophanales; Bacillaceae. The record is from RNAcentral.
UUAAGUUAGAAAGGGCGCACGGUGGAUGCCUUGACACUAGGAGUCGAUGAAGGACGGGACUAACGCCGAUAUGCUUCGGGGAGCUGUAAGUAAGCUUUGAUCCGAAGAUUUCCGAAUGGGGAAACCCACCAUACGUAAUGGUAUGGUAUCCUUAUCUGAAUACAUAGGGUAAGGAAGACAGACCCAGGGAACUGAAACAUCUAAGUACCUGGAGGAAGAGAAAGCAAAUGCGAUUUCCUGAGUAGCGGCGAGCGAAACGGAACAUAGCCCAAACCAAGAGGCUUGCCUCUUGGGGUUGUAGGACAUUCUAUACGGAGUUACAAAGGAACGAGGUAGACGAAGCGACCUGGAAAGGUCCGUCGUAGAGGGUAACAACCCCGUAGUCGAAACUUCGUUCUCUCUUGAAUGUAUCCUGAGUACGGCGGAACACGUGAAAUUCCGUCGGAAUCUGGGAGGACCAUCUCCCAAGGCUAAAUACUCCCUAGUGAUCGAUAGUGAACCAGUACCGUGAGGGAAAGGUGAAAAGCACCCCGGAAGGGGAGUGAAAGAGAUCCUGAAACCGUGUGCCUACAAAUAGUCAGAGCCCGUUAACGGGUGAUGGCGUGCCUUUUGUAGAAUGAACCGGCGAGUUACGAUCCCGUGCGAGGUUAAGCUGAAGAGGCGGAGCCGCAGCGAAAGCGAGUCUGAAUAGGGCGUUUAGUACGUGGUCGUAGACCCGAAACCAGGUGAUCUACCCAUGUCCAGGGUGAAGUUCAGGUAACACUGAAUGGAGGCCCGAACCCACGCACGUUGAAAAGUGCGGGGAUGAGGUGUGGGUAGCGGAGAAAUUCCAAUCGAACCUGGAGAUAGCUGGUUCUCCCCGAAAUAGCUUUAGGGCUAGCCUUAAGUGUAAGAGUCUUGGAGGUAGAGCACUGAUUGGACUAGGGGUCCUCAUCGGAUUACCGAAUUCAGUCAAACUCCGAAUGCCAAUGACUUAUCCUUAGGAGUCAGACUGCGAGUGAUAAGAUCCGUAGUCAAAAGGGAAACAGCCCAGACCGCCAGCUAAGGUCCCAAAGUGUGUAUUAAGUGGAAAAGGAUGUGGAGUUGCUUAGACAACUAGGAUGUUGGCUUAGAAGCAGCCACCAUUUAAAGAGUGCGUAAUAGCUCACUAGUCGAGUGACUCUGCGCCGAAAAUGUACCGGGGCUAAAUACACCACCGAAGCUGCGGAUUGAUACCAAUGGUAUCAGUGGUAGGGGAGCGUUCUAAGGACAGUGAAGUCAGACCGGAAGGACUGGUGGAGUGCUUAGAAGUGAGAAUGCCGGUAUGAGUAGCGAAAGACGGGUGAGAAUCCCGUCCACCGAAUGCCUAAGGUUUCCUGAGGAAGGCUCGUCCGCUCAGGGUUAGUCAGGACCUAAGCCGAGGCCGACAGGCGUAGGCGAUGGACAACAGGUUGAUAUUCCUGUACCACCUCUUUAUCGUUUGAGCAAUGGAGGGACGCAGAAGGAUAGAAGAAGCGUGCGAUUGGUUGUGCACGUCCAAGCAGUUAGGCUGAUAAGUAGGCAAAUCCGCUUAUCGUGAAGGCUGAGCUGUGAUGGGGAAGCUCCUUAUGGAGCGAAGUCUUUGAUUCCCCGCUGCCAAGAAAAGCUUCUAGCGAGAUAAAAGGUGCCUGUACCGCAAACCGACACAGGUAGGCGAGGAGAGAAUCCUAAGGUGUGCGAGAGAACUCUGGUUAAGGAACUCGGCAAAAUGACCCCGUAACUUCGGGAGAAGGGGUGCUUUCUUAACGGAAAGCCGCAGUGAAUAGGCCCAAGCGACUGUUUAGCAAAAACACAGCUCUCUGCGAAGCCGUAAGGCGAAGUAUAGGGGGUGACACCUGCCCGGUGCUGGAAGGUUAAGGAGAGGGGUUAGCGUAAGCGAAGCUCUGAACUGAAGCCCCAGUAAACGGCGGCCGUAACUAUAACGGUCCUAAGGUAGCGAAAUUCCUUGUCGGGUAAGUUCCGACCCGCACGAAAGGUGUAACGAUUUGGGCACUGUCUCAACCAGAGACUCGGUGAAAUUAUAGUACCUGUGAAGAUGCAGGUUACCCGCGACAGGACGGAAAGACCCCGUGGAGCUUUACUGUAGCCUGAUAUUGAAUUUUGGUACAGUUUGUACAGGAUAGGCGGGAGCCAUUGAAACCGGAGCGCUAGCUUCGGUGGAGGCGCUGGUGGGAUACCGCCCUGACUGUAUUGAAAUUCUAACCUACGGGUCUUAUCGACCCGGGAGACAGUGUCAGGUGGGCAGUUUGACUGGGGCGGUCGCCUCCUAAAGUGUAACGGAGGCGCCCAAAGGUUCCCUCAGAAUGGUUGGAAAUCAUUCGUAGAGUGCAAAGGCAUAAGGGAGCUUGACUGCGAGACCUACAAGUCGAGCAGGGACGAAAGUCGGGCUUAGUGAUCCGGUGGUUCCGCAUGGAAGGGCCAUCGCUCAACGGAUAAAAGCUACCCCGGGGAUAACAGGCUUAUCUCCCCCAAGAGUCCACAUCGACGGGGAGGUUUGGCACCUCGAUGUCGGCUCAUCGCAUCCUGGGGCUGUAGUCGGUCCCAAGGGUUGGGCUGUUCGCCCAUUAAAGCGGUACGCGAGCUGGGUUCAGAACGUCGUGAGACAGUUCGGUCCCUAUCCGUCGUGGGCGUAGGAAAUUUGAGAGGAGCUGUCCUUAGUACGAGAGGACCGGGAUGGACGCACCGCUGGUGUACCAGUUGUUCUGCCAAGGGCAUAGCUGGGUAGCUAUGUGCGGAAGGGAUAAGUGCUGAAAGCAUCUAAGCAUGAAGCCCCCCUCAAGAUGAGAUUUCCCAUAGCGAAGCUAGUAAGAUCCCUGAAAGAUGAUCAGGUUGAUAGGUUCGAGGUGGAAGCAUGGUGACAUGUGGAGCUGACGAAUACUAAUAGAUCGAGGACUUAACCAU